UUUCCAGCUACCUUCCUCAGAUUCCCCCAUGCGUACCAGGCCAGCUGCUCACUUGGUCAGCAAAGAGUACUUAGCCAAGUAUAAAAAGGCCAUUGAGCUGCAGAAAGCUCUUCCUGAUGAUGAUCCGCGUAGUUUCAAGCAACAGGCUAAUGUCCAUUGCACCUAUUGCCAAGGGGCUUAUGAUCAGGUUGGGUAUACCGACCUAGAACUCCAGGUUCAUGCUUCAUGGCUUUUCCUCCCUUUCCACCGUUACUAUCUCUACUUCAAUGAGAGAAUUCUUGCAAAGUUGAUCGACGAUCCCACCUUCGCUUUGCCCUAUUGGGCUUGGGAUAACCCUGAUGGCAUGUAUAUGCCGACCAUCUAUGCUAGUUCCCCAUCAUCAAUCUACGACGAGAAGCGCAACGCCAAGCACCUGCCUCCGACUGUGAUCGAUCUCGACUACGAUGGCACCGAACCCACAAUCC
This 464-nucleotide long non-coding RNA is filed under the name Vitis vinifera (wine grape). RNAcentral's name for it is "long non-coding RNA (VVIN_LNC006878)". Lineage: Eukaryota; Viridiplantae; Streptophyta; Magnoliopsida; Vitales; Vitaceae. The record is from RNAcentral.